RNAcentral lists this transfer RNA (59 nucleotides) under Cyrtodactylus tigroides. RNAcentral describes it as "tRNA Ser". The record is from RNAcentral. Lineage: Eukaryota; Metazoa; Chordata; Lepidosauria; Squamata; Gekkonidae.
AAGAAGGAACUAUCGACCUGCUAACUCGACCCCCCAAAACUAACCACUUGGCCCUCUUA